AGCUGCAGUAUCUUGACUGUACAAAGGUAGCAUAAUCAUUAGUUUUUUAAUUGAAAGCUGGAAUGAAUGGUUGAAUAAGGAAGUGACUGUCUCUUUUUAAUUAAGUUGAAUUUUAUUUUUAAGUCAAAAAGCUUAAAUUUUAUAGAAAGACGAGAAGACCCUAUAGAGUUUAAUAUACUUAAGUUUUUAUGGUUGAGGGUUGAAUUUUGUAAAAGCUUGAUUUUAUUUUGUUGGGGUGAUAUUAGAAUUUAAUUAACUUCUUUUUGUAAAGUCAUUGAUUUAUGAAUGAAUGAUCCUGAUUUUUGGAUUGAAAGAAUAAAUUACCUUAGGGAUAACAGCGUAAUUUUUUUGGAGAGUUCUUAUCGAUAAGAAAGAUUGCGACCUCGAUGUUGGAUUAAAGUUGAUUACCGGUGAAGAAGUUGGUAUAUUAA
Molecule: ribosomal RNA, 431 nt
Filed under: Sitaris muralis
Lineage: Eukaryota; Metazoa; Arthropoda; Insecta; Coleoptera; Meloidae
Description: partial large subunit ribosomal RNA
Rfam family: Bacterial large subunit ribosomal RNA
Source: RNAcentral